RNAcentral lists this ribosomal RNA (486 nucleotides) under uncultured bacterium. RNAcentral describes it as "partial 16S ribosomal RNA". It matches the Rfam family "Bacterial small subunit ribosomal RNA", at positions 28 to 507 of the family's 1533-position model. The record is from RNAcentral.
GAUGAACGCUGGCGGCGUGCCUAAUACAUGCAAGUCGAACGCUGGAGCUCUAGCUUGCUUGAUCGAAGGAGUGGCGAACGGGUGAGUAAUACAUAAGCAACCUACCCACGAAGACUGGGAUAAUCUCUGGAAACGGGGACUAAUACCGGAUAGGUAAUCGGAAGGCAUCUUCUGGUUAUUAAAGGUUAAAAACACUGGUAGAUGGGCAUAUGUCGCAUUAGUUAGUUGGUGAGGUAACGGCCCACCAAGACGAUGAUGCGUAGCCGGCCUGGGAGGGUGAACGGCUACAUUGGGACUGAGACCCGGACCAGACUGCUACGGGAGGCAGCAGUAGGGAAGUCUCGGCAAUGGGGGCAAACCUGACCGAGCCACGCCGCGUGAGUGAAGACGGCGUUCGGGUUGUAAAGCUCUGUUGUAAGGGAAGAACGGUAGAUAGAGAAUAUCUAAGUGACGGUACCUUACCAGAAAGCCACGGCUAACUACGUG